This 205-nucleotide ribosomal RNA is filed under the name uncultured bacterium. RNAcentral's name for it is "partial 16S ribosomal RNA". It matches the Rfam family "Bacterial small subunit ribosomal RNA", at positions 1298 to 1500 of the family's 1533-position model. The record is from RNAcentral.
CUAUAGGCUGCAACUCGCCUACACGAAGCUGGAAUCGCUAGUAAUCGCGGAUCAGCACGCCGCGGUGAAUACGUUCCCGGGCCUUGUACACACCGCCCGUCACACCAUGAGAGUCUGUAACACCCAAAGCCGGUGGGAUAACCUUUAUAGGAGUCAGCCGUCUAAGGUAGGACAGAUGAUUAGGGUGAAGUCGUAACAAGGUACC